RNAcentral lists this ribosomal RNA (524 nucleotides) under uncultured bacterium. RNAcentral's name for it is "bacterial SSU rRNA". It matches the Rfam family "Bacterial small subunit ribosomal RNA", at positions 16 to 518 of the family's 1533-position model. The record is from RNAcentral.
AUCAUGGCUCAGAACGAACGCUGGCAGCGUGGAUUAGGCAUGCAAGUCGAACGGGAUCGGGAAGGUAGCAAUAUCGGCCCGUGAGAGUGGCGGAAGGGCGAGGAACACGUGAGCAACCUGUCCUUGAGGUGGGGAAAACCGUUGGAAACGACGGCUAAUACCGAAUGCGGCGCCCGGAGACAUCUCCGGCGCGCUAAAGGGGGCCGCAAGGCUCCCCCUCUUCGAGGGGCUCGCGCACCAUCAGCUUGUUGGCGGGGUAACGGCCCACCAAGGCUCACGGUUAGCUGGUCUGAGAGGAUGGCCAGCCGCACUGGGACUGAGAUACUGCCCAGACUCCUACGGGAGGCUGCAGUCGAGGAUCAUUCGCAAUGGGGGAAACCCUGACGAUGCGACGCUGCGUGGAGGAAUGAAGGCCCUCGGGUCGUAAACUCCUGUCAUGAGGGAAAAGGCGAAGGGACCCAACGCGUCCCCUAGUUGAUGGUACCUCAAGAGGAACGGGCGGCUAACUCUGUGCCAGCAGCUGC